Molecule: ribosomal RNA, 253 nt
Filed under: uncultured bacterium
Lineage: Bacteria
Description: partial 16S ribosomal RNA
Rfam family: Bacterial small subunit ribosomal RNA
Source: RNAcentral
UACGAAGGGGGCUAGCGUUGCUCGGAAUCACUGGGCGUAAAGCGCACGUAGGCGGAUUGCUAAGUCAGGGGUGAAAUCCUGGAGCUCAACUCCAGAACUGCCUUUGAUACUGGCGACCUUGAGUCCGGGAGAGGUGAGUGGAACUGCGAGUGUAGAGGUGAAAUUCGUAGAUAUUGGGAAGAACACCAGUGGCGAAGGCGGCUCACUGGCUCGUAACUGACGCUCAGGCGCGACAGCGUGGGGAUCAAACAGG